GGCCGGCUGGCGCAAUGGUAGCGCGUCAGACUUCUACUAAGUGGUAAUCUGAAGGCUGCGGGUUCGAGCCCCGCGUUGGUCA
Colletotrichum tofieldiae is the source of this 82-nucleotide transfer RNA. It matches the Rfam family "tRNA". From Rfam's summary of the family: Transfer RNA (tRNA) molecules are approximately 80 nucleotides in length. Their secondary structure includes four short double-helical elements and three loops (D, anti-codon, and T loops). Further hydrogen bonds mediate the characteristic L-shaped molecular structure. tRNAs have two regions of fundamental functional importance: the anti-codon, which is responsible for specific mRNA codon recognition, and the 3' end, to which the tRNAs corresponding amino acid is attached (by aminoacyl-tRNA synthetases). tRNAs cope with the degeneracy of the genetic code in two manners: having more than one tRNA (with a specific anti-codon) for a particular amino acid; and 'wobble' base-pairing, i.e. permitting non-standard base-pairing at the 3rd anti-codon position. The record is from Rfam. NCBI's taxonomy places the organism in Eukaryota, Fungi, Ascomycota, Sordariomycetes, Glomerellales, Glomerellaceae.